RNAcentral lists this small nuclear RNA (196 nucleotides) under Cephalotus follicularis. RNAcentral's name for it is "U2 spliceosomal RNA". It matches the Rfam family "U2 spliceosomal RNA". From Rfam's summary of the family: U2 is a small nuclear RNA (snRNA) component of the spliceosome (involved in pre-mRNA splicing). The record is from Rfam by way of RNAcentral. Lineage: Eukaryota; Viridiplantae; Streptophyta; Magnoliopsida; Oxalidales; Cephalotaceae.
AUACCUUUCUCGGCCUUUUGGCUAAGAUCAAGUGUAGUAUCUGUUCUUAUCAGUUUAAUAUCUGAUAUGUGGACCAUCGGUUCACACGAUAUUAAAUUAAUUUUUUGAGGGGGAAGAUCCAUCUCAGUGGCUUGCUACUGGGGUCUUCGAGUGUCGCCCAUGCGUUGCACUAUUGCAAGGGCCUGGCGCACCCCAC